CCUGGUGGCUCAGUGGUAAAGAAUCUGCCUGCAAUGCAGGAGACUCAGGUUCGAUCCCUGGGUCAGGA
Molecule: non-coding RNA, 68 nt
Organism: Bos taurus (domestic cattle)
Lineage: Eukaryota; Metazoa; Chordata; Mammalia; Artiodactyla; Bovidae
Source: Rfam